AGAGUUUCACACACAAUUCACAUAAUUGCAAAUUAAUUCAAGUAGCCUUUAAUGGAUAUUCAAGGAACACAAUAUAAAAUAUGGAUACAAGGAAUAUCAUCAUCUCUAUGAUUGUCUCUAGGGCAUACCUCCAACAAAAUGAGCAUCCUAAUCUAUAUUUCACGAGAAUUCUUCUAGCAUAUAGUGGUCGUGGAUCUUCUAUGUGCUUCAAAUAUUAUGAGCUUCCAG
This 228-nucleotide long non-coding RNA is filed under the name Setaria italica (foxtail millet). RNAcentral's name for it is "long non-coding RNA (SITA_LNC007091)". Lineage: Eukaryota; Viridiplantae; Streptophyta; Magnoliopsida; Poales; Poaceae. The record is from RNAcentral.